UCUUUUCUUAAAAUUCCAGGAACGUUCAUGUGUUGGUCAUUGUAAUCCUGCUUUGCUCAUCUAGUGGUGUGAGUAUAUGACAUCAUUUUAGGGAUUUAAUGGGGUUUGGAAAACAAAGAAUAAGUACCAUUAGAAGUAGAACGCAGAAGAGAAAAUUAAUCUUAACUGUGAAUAUGAGAUGAUUUGGGAUGCAGAAGGAUCAAUGCAUCUUGUAGUAGGUAUCAAUUCUGUAUGUUAAUGUGUUAAAAAUAAUGUUGGUAGGUAUCAGUUCUGUGUGUGAAUGUGUUGAAAACAGUGUUUGUAGGUGAA
Molecule: long non-coding RNA, 309 nt
Filed under: Prunus persica (peach)
Lineage: Eukaryota; Viridiplantae; Streptophyta; Magnoliopsida; Rosales; Rosaceae
Description: long non-coding RNA (PPER_LNC003450)
Source: RNAcentral